UGGACCAGAGAAGCGAGAUGAAAGUUCAGGGAAGCAGGAUAAAAAGAUUAGCCCUUUAUCAAGUGUAUGCUGUUUCUCUUCAUUGGUCAGCCACUGGAUAAAGGAGAACAUGAAGGGCAGCAGGCAGAAGAGAACAGCAAAAGACAAAACGUCAGUAGCACAACUGGUAAACCUGAUUUCUUAUGAACCUGUGUUCUCUGUCCAGCAACCUUGGGUCAGUAAACCCACUAUGUCCUCUGACAGCGAUGUGGAGCAUGACGGCAGAGUUCCCUCAUACGUUGAAGACUGCACCUGAUGAUGACAAAGACUGGAAAGAGAAGAGCAGGCAAGACAAAUGAGGGGAGAUAAUGAGUGGCAUAGAUGUGGUUAUUUCUGCAGGAUAAAUUACAUGAUUUGCUGGGCAGGAAGCAAAGGGACAAUUCCCAGGACUAAACCACAGAUCUCCAGUUUAGUCACCUGUCUCCUGGAAUACCCUUCAGGAGCAGGACCAGGAAACAACUGAAAUUUUGUAGCUCCAGAGCUGAAGUUUGGCUCUGAUACAAGAAGAUUAUCUUCAAGCUCCAAGGAACUGUCUUCUAAAAAUCUCAGCAACUUUCCCCCAUAAGUCAUCACGGUGCUGGUAUCAUACAGGGAAAAGAUCCCAGCACAAUUGGUGUGCAGAAACAAAAGGAAUUGAAGCUGUUUAGAAUUCCACUUCUUCAGAGAGUUCUCUAGAAGCAUGUAAGUUUUUGGAAGUUAACAAAAAUAUGUCAGUGAAUCAAAUUACUAUACAAGCAUAGAAAAUACCUGAUCCUACCUAAAACGCAUUAUAACAAAUUGAACUUUGCCUAUGGGAAGAUAUAUAAGUCUACAGUAUACUUUCCUCAUUGAAUUGGAAAACAGAUUGUCAUUAGAUUUGC
Long non-coding RNA from Oxyura jamaicensis (ruddy duck), 899 nucleotides. RefSeq lists it as uncharacterized. Lineage: Eukaryota; Metazoa; Chordata; Aves; Anseriformes; Anatidae. The record is from RefSeq and is a predicted model, not a curated record. The transcript is spliced from 4 exons.